RNAcentral lists this long non-coding RNA (3223 nucleotides) under Hordeum vulgare. RNAcentral's name for it is "long non-coding RNA (HVUL_LNC001320)". Lineage: Eukaryota; Viridiplantae; Streptophyta; Magnoliopsida; Poales; Poaceae. The record is from RNAcentral.
UAAAGGAUAUUCUCAAGUAUUAGCAGGUGAGUUGUCAAUUCAACCACACCUGAAAGAUUAGUGUCUGCAAGCAAAGUAUUAGUAGCAAGGUAGUAUGAUAGCAACGAUACUAGAAAAAGCUUUGGCAAUUCCCACCAAUGGUGCUAGAAAAAGGCACGUUGACGGGAUGUUAGCGCCAACAAAGUCUUGCAACAAGUAACAGCGGAGUAAUAAGGAACACUGGUAGCAGCAACAGCAAAGUAACAAGUAACAGCUGUAGCAACAGCAGCAAAGUAACACCAGCAGCAAAGUGGCCCAAUCCCUCUUGUAGCAAGGGACAAGCCUAGGCAAAGUAACAUAGCGAGGACCAGUAGUAAAAGACUCGUAGGUAGUGGAUCGGUGAUGGAUGAGUGUGACGGAUGUGAUUCAUCAUGUAACAACUAUAACACGGAGAGAUAUAUGGCUAGCUCCCGUUCAUCAAUCUAAUGUAGGCAUGCAUUCCGUAUGUAGUCAUACAUGCUUAGGGAAAAGAACUUGCAUGACAUCUAUUGUCCAUCCCUCCCGUGGCAGCGGGAUCCUAAUGGAAACUACAAGAUAUUAAGGUUCUCCUUUUAAUAAAGAACCGGACCAAUGCAUUAACACGCGGUGAAUACAUGAACUCCUCAUACUAUGGUCAUCUCCGGGAGUGGUUCCGGAUAUUGUCACUCCGGGGUUGCCGGGUCAUAACACAUAGUAGGUGACUACAACUUGCAAGAUAGGAUUUAAAACACACAUAUAUUGGCGACAAGAUAAUAGGUUCAGAUCUGAAAUCAUGGCACUCGGGCCCUAGUGACAAGCAUUAAGCAUAGCCAAGUAGUAGCAACAUCAAUCUAGAACAUAGUGGAUACUAGGGAUCAAUCCCCGUUAAGAACUAACUCGAUUACAUGAUAGAUCUCAUCCAACUCAUCACCGUCCAGCAAGCCUACGAUGAUAUUACUCAUGAACGAUGAAGAGCAUCAUGGAAUUGGCGAUGGAGAAAGGUUGAUGAUGACGAUGACGACAAUUUCCCCUCUCCGGAGCCCGAAACGGACUCCAGAUCUGCCCUCCAGAUGAAGAACAGGAUGUGGCGGCGCCUCCGUAUCGCAAAACGCGAUGAAACCUUCUCUCUGUUUUUUUCCAGGCAAAACGGAAGAUAUAGGACUGAGUUUGGGGGCGGUUGUGCCACGUGUGCCCCACAAGCCUGCAUGGCGCGGCCUAGGGGGUGGCCGCGCCGUGUGGGCUUGUGGCCCACUCGCACACCCCCUCACGUGGAUCUUUGCGUAGGUAUUUUUCUUUUAUUCCAGAAAAAAUCUUUGUAAAUUUUCAAGACGUUCCGAGAACUUUUAUUUCUACACAAAAACAACACCAUGGCAAUUCUGCUGAAAACAGCGUCAGUCCGGGUUAGUUCCAUUCAAAUCUUGCAAAUUAGAGUCCAAAACAAGGGCAAAAGAGUUCGGAAAAGUAGAUACGACGGAGACGUAUCAACUCCCCCAAGCUUAAAGCCUUGCUUGUCCUCAAGCAACUCAGUUGACAAACUGAGAGAGACAAAAGAAAAACUUUGAUGAACUCUGUUUGAUCUUGUUGUUGCAACUAUGUCUAACUCACAACCAGAAUUUCAGCAACAUCACAAGCAAACCACAUAAGCAAAUGACAUCUAAGUCUCACGAUAAACUCAUAUCAAUGGCAUAAUCAACUAGCGAGCAAAUAAUAAUAAGCCUCAAGUGUCAACACUUCAAUCAAAACAACAUGAAGCAGUACGAAUAGAUGGUAUCUCGCUAGCUCUUUCCGAGACCGCAAAACAUAAAUGCACAGCACCUUAAAAGACCAAGGGCUGACUAAACAUUGUAUUUCAAGGCAAUGAAGAUCCAUUCAUAGUCACACUCAACACAGUUAAAAGCAAAGCAUAAAAAUGAUAGAGGUGCUCUCUAAUUGGUGCUUUUGUAAAAGGAGGAUGACUCAACAGGAACAUAAAUAGACAGGCCCUUCACAGAGGGAAGCAUUGAUUUGCAGAGGUGCCAGAGCUCAAGCUUUGAAAAUAGAGAUAAUAAUUUUGGGUGGCAUGCUUUCAUUGUCAAUGCAACGACUAAGAGUUCUCAACAUCUUCCACGCUACACAUGCUAUAGGCGGUUCCCAAACAGAAAAGUAAAGUUUUGACUCCCCCCACCACCAAUCAAUCACACUCCACGGCUAGCCGAAUCCUCGGGUACCGUCCAAACCAACAUCAAUCCUGGGGGAGUUUUGUUUGCAAUUAUCUUUUCGAUUUGAGUAUUGAACUGGGAAUUCCAAUUAUCGGCCCCUUUCUCGUGAAUGAUAGUGAAUAAACACAUAUCGACGAUAACACGCAUAGCAUGGAAGAUACCAAUAGCCCCCUUUCACCACAUGAGCGGUUCGGGCAUGCAAAACAGAUUAUUUCUUGAAGAUUUAGAGAGUGGCACAUGCAAAUUUACUUGGAACGGCAGGUAGAUACCGCACAUAGGUAGGUAUGGUGGACUCAUAUGGCACAACUUAGGGUUUAUGGGAGUGAAUGCACAAGCAGUAUUCCCGCUUAGUACAAGUGAAGGCUAGCAAAAGACUGGGAAGCGACCAACUAGAGAGCGACAACAGUCUUCAAAAUGAAUUGAGAUUAACUAACAUUGAGUGCAAGCAUGGGUAGGACAUAAAUCACCAUGAACAUGAACAUCAUAGAGGCUAUGUUGAUUUUGUUUCAACUACAUGCGUGAACAUGCGCCAAGUCAAGCCACUUGAAACAUUCAAAGGAGGAUACCAUCCUAUCAUACUACAUCAUAGUCAUCUCAACAUUCAUGUGGGCAACCAAGACAAACCAUUAUAGGCUCCUAGCUAAAUAAGCAUGGCAUAAGCAACUAUGAUCUCUAAGUUGUCAUUGCAAACAUGUUUCUCUCACAACAAAGCUGAAUCAGGCAUGAUGAGCUAGUCAUAUUUACAAAAACAAAAUAGAUCGAGUUCAUACCAGCUUUUCUAGGCUCAGUCACUUCAUCAUAUAUCGUCAUUAUUGCCUUUCACUUGCACGACCGAACGAUGUGAACAAUAAUAAGCAUGCUCGUGCAUUGUACUACGCUGGAAUCUGCAGGCAAACACAAAGGAGAAGACAAAGUAAUAUGGCUCUAUGAAAACUAAACAAGUAUGCAUGCAAGAGCCACUAAACAUUGUAACCAAUAUCUUCUACCUUGACCCAAAGAAAAAGAAAACUAUCUACACGGGAAAGCUC